This 1795-nucleotide long non-coding RNA is filed under the name Brassica napus (rape). Its description in RNAcentral is "long non-coding RNA (BNAP_LNC008607)". Lineage: Eukaryota; Viridiplantae; Streptophyta; Magnoliopsida; Brassicales; Brassicaceae. The record is from RNAcentral.
UGUGUUCACGCCAAUACCAAGACCAACAAGGAAUCUGCCAAAUAAGAUCCCAUUCAAGGAGUGAGCUUGUGCACUGAAGAAGAAAAAAAGACAGCCUUUUUAUUCUGAUUCAUCCAAAAAAUCAUGUUCGCAUACAACUUAAAACAUCAAGGAUAUGUUACCAACAUCGCUAAAUCAAGAUUUACCUCAGAAACAAAAUAUUACCUCACAAGAGCAACAGGAAAAGAGACUUAGAGUUAAUAUGAGGUUGAAGAAACUUUAGGAGAAGGUUAAAGAACAACAAGAGAAAGAUAGGGGGAAAGGUUUGUAUUUUCUCACCUUUCUUUGUUAGAUUAAUAUCAUGAGUCUGUUUUUUUUUUUUUUAUUCUUACGUACUGUGUGUGAGUUUGCUGUGAUUCUUGUGUUUGAAUAUGGCAUACUAAAUGUAAUAAUCUCCAAUCACUCGUUCUUGCUGGCUAUCUCGUUUUGUUUAGAGUCAGUUCUAAGUGCUGAUGUGGUUUACUAAGCAAUCUUCCAGAUCCAAACUUUUAAAACGUUUCGUAAUGAGUGGGUGGAGAAUGCAGAUCGUUGGGUAGCUAGAUUCCUUGAAAUGUUUAAAGAAGGCUGCCAUAAAAUGGUGAGUUUAAAACUUUGAAGAAACUUAAGAAAACUGGUUGCAAAAAAAAAAAAAAAACUUAAAAAAACCUAACUUAAUCCACUAUUUUAUCUUUUCCGCGAUUCACGACUAAUCUGCCAUAAAAUAACUUGUAUAGGUAUUAGGGAACUGCCAUCAGAGACCGAAGCCAAGAGAAGUUAAUGCAAAAAGAGUCUAGAGAACUGCUCGAACAGGAUCAAUGUGACAACCUGUUUCGUGGACCACAGGUUCACAGCUCUGCAGGACACCGACCCUAACCUCUAAUAUCUAAUGAUUUUGAUGAGUUUUAGAUUCAUAAUUUAGUUCAUUGUGAUCAUUCUAGAUUGCAUUUAAGUGUAUAUAUUGCAUACAUUUGUCCAUUUGAAUAUUCUAGGGUUUGGAUUGCACAAAUGGAAGUUUGGAGCCAAAAUGUGAGGUCAUUCUUGUGUAUUCCAGACUUUCUUGCUGAUUUGGAAACAAUCAAAAGGCGAGGGACUGAUUGAGAAAUUAUGAAAAGGGCUGGUCUGUGCAAUUAAAAUGUUUGGGGCUGAAUCAAAAAGAUAUUUCUGCAAUUUACAAAGUCGUGGGGCGUUUUGUCAGGAAUUAGAAGUUUAGGGACCUACUCUGUAAUACUCUAUGAAAUCACCAUGGGAGAUCUUCUCCAGCUCGAUCCCGACGGCGACGACGAGCAGCACGACGGAGAUGAACUGAUGAAUCGUGUGACGGGACAGACUCACGAAGAAAGCGAAGCUUGGCUGAGGACGACGGUUACGGAUGAGGAACAGAGCACGGUGGCGUGACUUGGUACCACGAACUAAGCUACGCUGAGACCAAGUGAAGCCGCAGUACACAGAGAGAGCGUGAUCAUCCAAGCUCAAUCGAAGUCUUCAAGUGUUCGUGGCAUCGAGGUGUGUAGGUCGCUGUAAACCGGACGCGUCUUAGAGCGAGGGCACGUUGCGAGAUAGUGCUCUCGCCCUACCAUGAGCAUGAGUUGGAGCGAGCGGGCUUCUCUUGCGACAUCACCGACCCGCUCGCAUCCUCCAACGGGCAUCAACUUCGAAGCUAAGUAGUGGAGCGGUCGUGUGCAGCGGUCUGAGGAGGUUCUUGUGCCUCACACGGUCCAUGGAGCGGGAUGACGAAGCCGCUCCCACACUCUGAUUGGUCGAAUUUUACUUAUUUUAU